RNAcentral lists this transfer RNA (68 nucleotides) under Taricha granulosa (rough-skinned newt). RNAcentral describes it as "tRNA-Thr". It matches the Rfam family "tRNA". Rfam says of the family: Transfer RNA (tRNA) molecules are approximately 80 nucleotides in length. The record is from RNAcentral. Lineage: Eukaryota; Metazoa; Chordata; Amphibia; Caudata; Salamandridae.
GCUUGAAUAGUUUAAAUAAAAUACUGGUCUUGUAAGCCAGAGCUGAAGCCUAGCCGCUUCUUCCAGCA